RNAcentral lists this ribosomal RNA (492 nucleotides) under uncultured bacterium. RNAcentral describes it as "partial 16S ribosomal RNA". It matches the Rfam family "Bacterial small subunit ribosomal RNA", at positions 30 to 507 of the family's 1533-position model. The record is from RNAcentral.
AUUGAACGCUGGCGGCAGGCCUAACACAUGCAAGUCGAACGGCAACACAAUGCGAGUUUCCGCUUUCCGGUCGCGAGUGGCGGGCGUGAGUGGAGUCCGUCAGACUCUCCUUUUUCGUGGGGGAUCACCUAGGAACAGUUACUCUUAUACCGCAUCCUACCAACGCGUGAAAGCGGGGCAUUUUGGGCCCUUGCCCUCGUGAGUGCCCCGAUGGCGUAUUAUCUAGGUGGGGGGGUAAAGGCCCCCCAAGGCGACGAUCCGUAGCUGGUCUGAGAGGGUGAUCAGCCACACUGGAACUGAGACACGGUCCAGGCUCCUAAGGGAGGAAGCAGUGGGGAAUAUUGGACAAGGGGCGCAAGCCUGAUCCAGCCAUACCGCGUGGGUGAAGAAGGCCUUCGGGUUGUAAAGCCCUUUUGUUGGGAAAGAAAAGCAGCAGGUUAAUACCCCGCUGUUCUGACGGUACCCAAAGAAUAAGCACCGGCUAACUUCGUG